CAGGCCUAACACAUGCAAGUCGAACGGUGAUAGCCCUCGGGCUAGUACAGUGGCAAACGGGUGCGUAACGCGUAAGCAACCUGCCCCUGACUGGGGGAUAGCCUGGCGAAAGCCGGGGUAAGCCCCCAUAGUCCCCUUUCUUCUCCUGAAGAGAUGGGUAAAGAUUCAUCGGUCAGGGAGGGGCUUGCGUCGGAUUAGCUAGUUGGCAGGGUGACGGCCUACCAAGGCGAUGAUCCGUCGGGGUUCUGAGAGGACUGGCCCCCACAUGGGUACUGAGAGACGGACCCAACUCCUACGGGAGGCAGCAGUAGGGAAUAUUGGGCAAUGGGCGAGAGCCUGACCCAGCCAUGCCGCGUGAAGGAUGAAGGCGCUCAGCGUUGUAAACUUCCUUUAUCAAGGAAGAACUGCAGUCCUGCGGGAUUGUGUGACGGUACUGGGGGAAUCAGCACCGGCUAACUCCGUGCCAGCAGCCGCGGUAAU
This 480-nucleotide ribosomal RNA is filed under the name uncultured bacterium. RNAcentral's name for it is "bacterial SSU rRNA". It matches the Rfam family "Bacterial small subunit ribosomal RNA", at positions 43 to 524 of the family's 1533-position model. The record is from RNAcentral.